This 259-nucleotide ribosomal RNA is filed under the name uncultured bacterium. Its description in RNAcentral is "partial 16S ribosomal RNA". It matches the Rfam family "Bacterial small subunit ribosomal RNA", at positions 94 to 354 of the family's 1533-position model. The record is from RNAcentral.
AGUGGCGGACGGGUGAGUAACGCGUGGGCAACCUGGCCUGUACAGGGGGAUAACACUUAGAAAUAGGUGCUAAUACCGCAUAACGGGAGAAGCCGCAUGGCUUUUUCCUGAAAACUCCGGUGGUACAGGAUGGGCCCGCGUCUGAUUAGCUAGUUGGUGAGAUAACAGCCCACCAAGGCGACGAUCAGUAGCCGACCUGAGAGGGUGACCGGCCACAUUGGGACUGAGACACGGCCCAAACUCCUACGGGAGGCAGCAG